GGAAUGUUUAUUUCCUACUUUGUUUAAAAGAAAAAGAUAUCCAUUUUGCUUUCUUGAUUUUGAAGUUAUAGAAAUUAUCUAAUUUACUCCUCCUAAGGCAGACAAGGGUUUUGCUUGCUCAGUGUCCUCUGUGCCCAUCACUGCCACAUCCUGAAACUCCGUCAAACCUGCGAAACACUUCUCAGUCAAGUCAAGAACAUUAAUACCUGAUCUACUGUUUUCCUUGGGGACUUCUCUAUGAAGCCUGUCACUGGCUCCAGUGUGGACUGGGUUCCCCUUGGCCAGCUGCAUAGCAGGCAUAAUGGGCCUUCUUUUCUUUGUCGUCUCUCUCUCCUCCUGGGAACCCUCUGUUUCCUGGAUCUCAGGCUUUUUCAUUGAUUCUCUUAUCUGCGCCUAUGCACUGAGCGAGAGGCCGUGGGCAAUGAAUAUGUUGACAUCUUGCACAUCUGAGAAUAUUGUUAUUCCACCCUCAGACUUGAUUUAUAGUUGAGUUGAGAACAUAAUUCCAGUUAGAAUUCAUUUCCUCAGGACUAUGAAGCAUUUCUCUAUUGUCUUCUACCUGCCAGUAUUGCCACUCAGAAGCUUGAUGCCUUUAUAAUUCCUGAGCAUACGUGACCUGCUGCUUUUUCAUGUCAGGAAGCUCUUAGAAUCCUCUCUUUAGUGCUAGUGUUCUGCAUUUUCUUGAUGAUACGCUUUGGUAUGGUCUUUUUUCCUCUUUCUGCUAGAUAGGAAGUGGGCCCUAUUAAUCUGGAAAUUUAUGGCCUUCAAUUAAUGGAAAUUACUUGUUCUUUGGGAUAUUGAAUGGAAAAUGUUUAAAAUUCCAGAUUCCAACUACAAUCUUUCGGAACCUAAUCUCAGGAGUGGCAUUCCAUCUAUUGGUCAUAUUCUAUUUGUUGAGGCUCGUCAGUAAACUCAACUGGAGGGGAGGAGAUUACACCAGCAUGUGAGUACCAAGAAGGGGACCAUCCGGAGCCAUCUUGGAGGCUGCCUACCACACCUUACUUAAAAACAGACAAGAGUCAGAAUCUCUUCACUUCAUCUGCUUUUCAUGAGAGUGAAACAGUGUUACCUGUAGCAAUACAGGGCCUCAGUCUGAUGUCGAAGAUUUUCCUGAGAUCUCCUACAGACAGAAGGAAUAUGGAAGACUUUUUUCCCCAGAACAGCAACUACAAUAAUUCUAUAAGAUGAUCUUAUCCUGCUAAGAGUAUUAACAAGAAAAAUCACUAAUAGGAAAAUUAAGAGACAUUCAUUACAAAAGUGAUUACUCAAACUCAAAUACAGUUAUCUCAUUUCUCAAAGAAAAGUCUAAAAACCCAGAGAAUUAAAAUCGGAGUUUUUGAGGCAGUUUCCAUAACUCUAUCAUUUCCAGCAGGGAGAAAAAUCAGGUAGUAAUGCACCUCAUCAUUCUCCCUCAACAUUAACUCAAUGGAACUACCACUCUCUCUCAAUGGUUCCAGUAUAUAAACUUAUUUUCUAGCUAACACAUCUACGAAAAAUGCCUUUUUAAACCCCUUUUAGAAACUGUAGAUGCAACUGAUAACCUCAAAAGAAUGAAGAGUUUAUUUGCCAGGCACAACCUUGGCACACAAAUUCUAUUGCUCUCUACAGUUGUUUCACCUGACAACAUUAAUUCUUUUCUACUUUAAUGAAGAAGAAAGUUGUACAUGUCACGAGGUUUCUUUGCUUCAUCCUGAAAUCACAGGCAGCCUCUCGCCCUGGGAGUGUCGUCUAGGGCCCUGAAAGUGGGCUCUUUCAUCUGAGCCCGGUUUUGAAUCACAGCCUCUUCAUGUGGUUUUUCUUAGGAGGAGACAGAAUACAAAGACACCUCCUGCACAGAUGUUCCCUGGCUUAAAGAGGAUGAGUCUUGAAAGGCUUGACUGAAAUUUGAGCAGAAGUUGCAUGUUUUUAUGAGACAAGUAAAUCACACUCCCAGAAUAGUCGGAAGGGGUGGGGUUCACUGAUGUCUUGGCUCAGCUGGCCGCUAUCUGGGCACUUAAGAAGGAAGUAAAUCAUUUAAUAGGAAGCUCUGAAGCCACCUUUAUGGAUGCUGCUGCUGGACAACUGUGGAUUCCAUUAGCCAACUUGCCACAUUGGAAGAAGAGACUAGAAUCAGAAAUUUGUGAAAACUUUCCAAUGCUGGAGGAAGUGUUUCAGCAGUUGAAAAUAAUAAAAUCUAUAGUCAAUUUGUCAGAAGUCUGCAGAUACUCAGAACUACUACAAAAGUCUCCUGAAAAAUACUUCUGUUGAAAUGGGAAAAUGAAUUCAUAAUUCUUUUCUUGCAAGUUUCAUCAUAGCACCAAUGAUGAAAGUUCUGGAAAGAUACCCUCAUUAAUUUGAGGACAAGAGAAAUAAAAUCAUGAAUUCAACCCCUAAAGAAAGAAUCUGGGAAAUAUCUAGUGUUUCAUAAGACAAACUAUCUUCACAUAACAAAGAGCAUAAUGAAACAUAAUGAAAAUUAAUAUUCAGUUCGCCUCUUACUCCUUUACGUGUCAGGGUUUUCAGCACUUAUUCCUAUGAAAAUAAAAGUCAAAAUCAAAUGGAAAUCAAAGAUGUCUGCAUAUUGCUACUUCAAUAAGCUCUCUCUAUAAUCUUACCCCCUCAUUAAAGCGAAACCAAACAAAACUGAUACUAGUACAAUUUAGAUCUCCUUCAACUUUUUUCAGAAAUUAGCAUAAUUUCUUAAGAAAAAAAGAGAGUAAAAAAUUAUAAUUCUUAAAAAAGAUUAUUUCUAUUCUCCAUUGUGAAAU
Molecule: long non-coding RNA, 2747 nt
Organism: Equus caballus (horse)
Lineage: Eukaryota; Metazoa; Chordata; Mammalia; Perissodactyla; Equidae
Source: Ensembl